RNAcentral lists this ribosomal RNA (253 nucleotides) under uncultured bacterium. Its description in RNAcentral is "partial 16S ribosomal RNA". It matches the Rfam family "Bacterial small subunit ribosomal RNA", at positions 524 to 776 of the family's 1533-position model. The record is from RNAcentral.
UACGGAGGGUGCAAGCGUUAUCCGGAUUCACUGGGUUUAAAGGGUGCGUAGGCGGGUUGAUAAGUCAGUGGUGAAAGCUCCGGGCUUAACUUGGAAACUGCCAUUGAUACUGUCAAUCUUGAAUGUCGUAGAGGUAAGCGGAAUGUUGCAUGUAGCGGUGAAAUGCUUAGAUAUGUUACAGAACACCAAUUGCGAAGGCAGCUUACUAUGCGAUAAUUGACGCUGAGGCACGAAAGCGUGGGGAGCAAACAGG